Molecule: ribosomal RNA, 260 nt
Filed under: uncultured bacterium
Lineage: Bacteria
Description: partial small subunit ribosomal RNA
Rfam family: Bacterial small subunit ribosomal RNA
Source: RNAcentral
AGGACGAACGCUGGCGGCGUGCUUAACACAUGCAAGUCGAACGGUGAACCAGGGCUUGCCCUGGGGAUCAGUGGCGAACGGGUGAGUAACACGUGACCAACCUGCCCUUGGCUCUGGGAUAACCCCGGGAAACCGGAGCUAAUACCGGAUACGAGUUCGUAUGGCAUCACACGAACUGGAAAGUUUUUUCGGCCAAGGAUGGGGUCGCGGCCUAUCAGCUUGUUGGUGGGGUAAUGGCCUACCAAAGGCGACGACGGGUA